This is a long non-coding RNA of Aphis gossypii (cotton aphid), 976 nucleotides long. RefSeq lists it as uncharacterized. The transcript is spliced from 3 exons. NCBI's taxonomy places the organism in Eukaryota, Metazoa, Arthropoda, Insecta, Hemiptera, Aphididae. The record is from RefSeq and is a predicted model, not a curated record.
ACCUACACAGUUAUAAAUUAUAUAGAAAACUCUGAACAAUUCGACAAUUACAUUUUUUUUUCAGAUUCAUUAAGCUCAGUGAUAAAUGUAAUCAACAACGAAAAUAAGUGGCAUGAAAUAAAGAAUGAGUUAGAAGUAAAAAACAUCACUAUUGUCUGUAUACCCAGGAGGGCAUAAUAUGAUAAAGUAGAUAAAUUUAAAACUGGAAAAAAAACACGACGUAUAACGAUCAAAUAGAAUUAAAUUUAAAAUAUUAUGAGAACGAAUACGUCAUUAUAAAGACUAUUAGUUUAAACAAUGAUACAAAAUGGUUAUGUGAGUGGAGAAAAAAAGAAAUCAAAUUGAGCGAUGUGAUCUGACCAACCAUGCGUUGGAAAAACCCAGAAAAUCUAAAAAGAAAAGAAGACGUCAUCUUAACGCAUCUUAUAAUUGGCAUAUGUGUAUACGACAUUUUUGAUAUGGUUACUGCCUACAUUGAAAUACAUUGGCAGAGAAGACCCAACCCAAUGCGCAGUUUGUGAAUUACAUUAUGUUAGUAUCAUAACUAAUUUAUAAGUAUUAACUGUCAAGUAUCUUCUCGUUGAAUGCUGAUAAACAACAAAGAUAUCUCUGAAUUUUUGAUCGAUCACUAUAUAACAAGAUGAGACGACUAACAAACUUUAACACUCAGUAUGGAUAAUUUAUUGAGAUAACAGAAUUCAGUUCCAUUUAGUAAUUAAUAUUUUCUUGGGAAAUUUUUUAUGAGUUGAUUUCUGUAGUAGCGAAUUCGUGGUGAUGCAAUGCGAGACGAAUUCCCAUGACAUAUGUAUCCUGUCUACUGCAAUUUUUUUUUAAAAAAAUUUCAUUGUAUUUCGUUUUCACCAUUUUGUGAAAUAUUAUUGUGCAAUCGCAGGUUCUUAAAAUACUUUUUUUUUUACAUUUUAAUUGAAAACAAAAAUGAUUCAGUGUGUAUUAAAUGUAGGGUAUUCAAGUUAUA